RNAcentral lists this ribosomal RNA (1016 nucleotides) under uncultured bacterium. Its description in RNAcentral is "bacterial SSU rRNA". It matches the Rfam family "Bacterial small subunit ribosomal RNA", at positions 357 to 1376 of the family's 1533-position model. The record is from RNAcentral.
AGGAAUAUUGGUCAAUGGACGAGAGUCUGAACCAGCCAAGUAGCGUGAAGGAUGACUGCCCUAUGGGUUGUAAACUUCUUUUAUACGGGAAUAAAGUGAGGCACGUGUGCCUUUUUGUAUGUACCGUAUGAAUAAGGAUCGGCUAACUCCGUGCCAGCAGCCGCGGUAAUACGGAGGAUCCGAGCGUUAUCCGGAUUUAUUGGGUUUAAAGGGAGCGUAGGUGGACAGUUAAGUCAGUUGUGAAAGUUUGCGGCUCAACCGUAAAAUUGCAGUUGAUACUGGCUGUCUUGAGUACAGUAGAGGUGGGCGGAAUUCGUGGUGUAGCGGUGAAAUGCUUAGAUAUCACGAAGAACUCCGAUUGCGAAGGCAGCUCACUGGACUGCAACUGACACUGAUGCUCGAAAGUGUGGGUAUCAAACAGGAUUAGAUACCCUGGUAGUCCACACAGUAAACGAUGAAUACUCGCUGUUUGCGAUAUACAGUAAGCGGCCAAGCGAAAGCAUUAAGUAUUCCACCUGGGGAGUACGCCGGCAACGGUGAAACUCAAAGGAAUUGACGGGGGCCCGCACAAGCGGAGGAACAUGUGGUUUAAUUCGAUGAUACGCGAGGAACCUUACCCGGGCUUGAAUUGCAACUGAAUGAUGUGGAGACAUGUCAGCCGCAAGGCAGUUGUGAAGGUGCUGCAUGGUUGUCGUCAGCUCGUGCCGUGAGGUGUCGGCUUAAGUGCCAUAACGAGCGCAACCCUUAUCGAUAGUUACCAUCAGGUUAUGCUGGGGACUCUGUCGAGACUGCCGUCGUAAGAUGUGAGGAAGGUGGGGAUGACGUCAAAUCAGCACGGCCCUUACGUCCGGGGCUACACACGUGUUACAAUGGGGGGUACAGAAGGCAGCUACACGGGGACGUGAUGCUAAUCCCUAAAGCCUCUCUCAGUUCGGAUUGGAGUCUGCAACCCGACUCCAUGAAGCUGGAUUCGCUAGUAAUCGCGCAUCAGCCACGGCGCGGUGAAUACGUUCCCG